This 253-nucleotide ribosomal RNA is filed under the name uncultured bacterium. RNAcentral's name for it is "partial 16S ribosomal RNA". It matches the Rfam family "Bacterial small subunit ribosomal RNA", at positions 524 to 776 of the family's 1533-position model. The record is from RNAcentral.
UACGGAGGGUGCAAGCGUUAUCCGGGUUCACUGGGUUUAAAGGGUGCGUAGGUGGGCAGGUAAGUCAGUGGUGAAAUCUUUGGGCUUAACCCGAAAACUGCCAUUGAUACUAUUUGUCUUGAAUAUUGUGGAGGUCAGCGGAAUAUGUCAUGUAGCGGUGAAAUGCUUAGAUAUGACAUAGAACACCAAUUGCGAAGGCAGCUGGCUACACAUAUAUUGACACUGAUGCACGAAAGCGUGGGGAUCAAACAGG